RNAcentral lists this unclassified non-coding RNA (298 nucleotides) under uncultured Madurella. RNAcentral's name for it is "sequence contains ITS1". The stretch from base 1 to 105 matches the Rfam family "5.8S ribosomal RNA", at positions 50 to 154 of the family's 154-position model. Lineage: Eukaryota; Fungi; Ascomycota. The record is from RNAcentral.
GAAAUGCGAUAAGUAAUGCGAAUUGCAGAUUUCAGUGAAACAUCGAAUCUUUGAACGCACAUUGCGCCCGCCAGUACUCUGGCGGGCAUGCCUGUUCGAGCGUCAUUUCGACCAUCGAGCCCCCGGGCUCGCGUUGGGGAUCUGCGGCCGCGCGCAGGCCCCGAAAACCAGUGGCGGGCUCGCCGUCACCCCGAGCGUAGUAGCGUCCGUUUCUCGCUCCGGGGCGUGGCGCGGGACCCGGCCGUUAAAGCCCCCAAAGGUUGACCUCGGAUCAGGUAGGAAUACCCGCUGAACUUAA